Ribosomal RNA from Sinocyclocheilus anshuiensis, 119 nucleotides. The record is from Ensembl. Lineage: Eukaryota; Metazoa; Chordata; Actinopteri; Cypriniformes; Cyprinidae.
GCUUACGGCCAUACCACCCUGUUCUCACCCGAUCUCGUCUGAUCUCGGAAGCUAUGCAAGGUCGGGCCUGGUUAGUACUUGGAUGGAAGACCGCCUGGGAAUACCAGGUGCUGUAAGCU